This is a long non-coding RNA of Ipomoea nil (Japanese morning glory), 112 nucleotides long. RefSeq lists it as uncharacterized. The record is from RefSeq and is a predicted model, not a curated record. The transcript is spliced from 4 exons. NCBI's taxonomy places the organism in Eukaryota, Viridiplantae, Streptophyta, Magnoliopsida, Solanales, Convolvulaceae.
UACUGCCAAAAGUAUCUCCCAAAUUCAUGAAUUACUCUAUCAAACACAACCAUUUGUUGUUUCCUUAGAUAACACAAAUAUAAGAUGAUUAUCAAAGCCCAAAACUCCAACC